Molecule: ribosomal RNA, 468 nt
Filed under: uncultured bacterium
Lineage: Bacteria
Description: partial 16S ribosomal RNA
Rfam family: Bacterial small subunit ribosomal RNA
Source: RNAcentral
GACGAACGCUGGCGGCGUGCUUAACACAUGCAAGUCGAACGGAAAGGCCCUGCUUUUGUGGGGUGCUCGAGUGGCGAACGGGUGAGUAACACGUGAGUAACCUGCCCUUGACUUUGGGAUAACUUCAGGAAACUGGGGCUAAUACCGGAUAGGAUCUCCUGCUGCAUGGUGGGGGUUGGAAAGUUUCGGGGGUUGGGGAUGGACUCGCGGCUUAUCAGCUUGUUGGUGGGGUAGUGGCUUACCAAGGCUUUGACGGGUAGCCGGCAUGAGAGGGUGACAGGCAAAAUUGGGAAUGAGAUAGGGCACAGAAGAGAAGGGGAGGAAGCAGGGGGGAAGAUAGAAAAAUGGGAGGAAGCGUGAGGAAGAAAGGCGGGGGGGGGGAAGAAGGCAUACGGGUGGAAAACAGAUUUCGAAUGAGAAGAAGAGGGAGUGACGGUAAUGGGUAAAGAAGCACCGGCUAACUACGUG